RNAcentral lists this ribosomal RNA (118 nucleotides) under Prolemur simus (greater bamboo lemur). The record is from RNAcentral. Lineage: Eukaryota; Metazoa; Chordata; Mammalia; Primates; Lemuridae.
GUCUACUGCCAAACCACCCUGAACAUGCCCGAUCUUGUCUGAUCUUGGAAGCUAAGCAGGAUUGGGCCUGGUUAGUACUUGGAUGGGAGAUUAAUUAAAUAUAAGCUUGGAAGGGACU